AUACGGAGGAUGCGAGCGUUAUCCGGAUUUAUUGGGUUUAAAGGGUGCGUAGGCUGUGCGUUAAGUCAGGGGUGAAAUGCCGUCGCUCAACGACGGAGCUGCCCUUGAUACUGGCGUGCUGGAGUACGGAUGCCGUUGGAGGAAUGAGUGGUGUAGCGGUGAAAUGCUUAGAUAUCACUCAGAACACAGAUUGCGAAGGCAUCUGACGAAUCCGUCACUGACGAUGAGGCACGAAAGCGUGGGGAUAGAACAGGAUUAGAUACCCUGGUAUUCCACGCCGUAAACGAUGAUGACUAACCGUCGGCGAUAGACAGCCGGUGGCCAAGCGAAAGCGAUAAGUCAUCCACCUGGGGAGUACGUCGGCAACGAUGAAACUCAAAGGAAUUGACGGGG
RNAcentral lists this ribosomal RNA (393 nucleotides) under uncultured bacterium. Its description in RNAcentral is "partial 16S ribosomal RNA". It matches the Rfam family "Bacterial small subunit ribosomal RNA", at positions 523 to 918 of the family's 1533-position model. The record is from RNAcentral.